UAUAGCUCAAUUGGUAGAGUGCCUGCUUAGCAUGCAUGAGGUCCUGGGUUCAAUCUCCAGUA
This 62-nucleotide transfer RNA is filed under the name Camelus bactrianus (Bactrian camel). It matches the Rfam family "tRNA", at positions 6 to 65 of the family's 71-position model. Rfam says of the family: Transfer RNA (tRNA) molecules are approximately 80 nucleotides in length. Their secondary structure includes four short double-helical elements and three loops (D, anti-codon, and T loops). Further hydrogen bonds mediate the characteristic L-shaped molecular structure. tRNAs have two regions of fundamental functional importance: the anti-codon, which is responsible for specific mRNA codon recognition, and the 3' end, to which the tRNAs corresponding amino acid is attached (by aminoacyl-tRNA synthetases). tRNAs cope with the degeneracy of the genetic code in two manners: having more than one tRNA (with a specific anti-codon) for a particular amino acid; and 'wobble' base-pairing, i.e. permitting non-standard base-pairing at the 3rd anti-codon position. Lineage: Eukaryota; Metazoa; Chordata; Mammalia; Artiodactyla; Camelidae. RNAcentral also lists the same sequence under 2 other names. The record is from Rfam by way of RNAcentral.